UUGGAGGGCAAGUCUGGUGCCAGCAGCCGCGGUAAUUCCAGCUCCAAUAGCGAAUAUUAAAGUUGUUGCAGUUAAAAAGCUCGUAGUUGAAUUUCGGGAUCAAUGUUUCGGUCAUGCCGUUGGUAUGUACUGAUACUAUUGAUUUCUCACCUUCUAAAGAACCGUAAUGCCAUUAAUUUGGUGUCACGGGGAAUUAGGACUGUUACCUUGAAAAAAUUAGAGUGUUUAAAGCAGGCUCACGCUUGAAUACAUUAGCAUGGAAUAAUGAAAUAGGACAUCCGAUUCUAUUUUGUUGGUUUCUAGGAUCGAUGUAAUGAUUAAUAGGGAUAGUUGGGGGCAUUAGUAUUCAAUUGUCAGAGGUGAAAUUCUUGGAUUUAUUGAAGACUAACUACUGCGAAAGCAUUUGCCAAGGAUGUUUUCAUUAAUCAAGAACGAAAGUUAGGGGAUCGAAGACGAUCAGAUACCGUCGUAGUCUUAACCAUAAACUAUGCCGACUAGGGAUCGGAUGAUGUUAAUUUUUUAAUGACUCAUUCGGCGCCUUACGGGAAAC
Molecule: ribosomal RNA, 550 nt
Filed under: uncultured Glomus
Lineage: Eukaryota; Fungi; Glomeromycota; Glomeromycetes; Glomerales; Glomeraceae
Description: SSU rRNA
Rfam family: Eukaryotic small subunit ribosomal RNA
Source: RNAcentral